Molecule: ribosomal RNA, 252 nt
Filed under: uncultured bacterium
Lineage: Bacteria
Description: partial 16S ribosomal RNA
Rfam family: Bacterial small subunit ribosomal RNA
Source: RNAcentral
UACGGAGGAUGCGAGCGUUAUCCGGAUUUAUUGGGUUUAAAGGGUGCGUAGGCGGACUGUCAAGUCAGCGGUAAAAUUGAGAGGCUCAACCUCUUCCCGCCGUUGAAACUGGUGGUCUUGAGUGGAUGAGAAGUACGCGGAAUGCGUGGUGUAGCGGUGAAAUGCAUAGAUAUCACGCAGAACUCCGAUUGCGAAGGCAGCGUACCGGCAUCCAACUGACGCUGAGGCACGAAAGCGUGGGGACCAAACAGG